Molecule: long non-coding RNA, 1220 nt
Filed under: Homo sapiens (human)
Lineage: Eukaryota; Metazoa; Chordata; Mammalia; Primates; Hominidae
Description: HSALNT0290478
Rfam family: tRNA (bases 358-429)
Source: RNAcentral
GGGCGCCUCCGCGCUCCCGCCUCCUCCUGGCAACCUGGUGCGCGGCUCCGGACCUGGCGACCCACGACCGGCUGGUCACUUGCUGCCACCUCGCAAAGGCGCAUCUCUAGUUCAGUGGUGAGCUGCGGCCGGGUCGCUGCAACUCGCUCCAGGCCUCCGGACUCGUGGCCUCGGUGUCCCUCGCGGAGCCCUCGGUGUGUCGCUUGCAGGCUCUUUUUUUGAAGAAAGCAGGGAGGGAAUGGCCUUGUGAGAGACUCCAGGAGCAAAGAGCGACCCUCACAAGGCCCAAGUCCUCCCAGAGCUCAGGGAAGCUGUCGCUUCUGACAGAAGAAGGGAGACAAAGCUCCCUCCUGUGUGUCCCUGGUGGUCUAGUGGCUAGGAUUCGGCGCUUUCACCGCCGCGGCCCGGGUUCGAUUCCCGGCCAGGGAAUUGUUUUACACUGGCCGCCCUCCCGCAGGAAUCUUCCUUCACUACGCUGUCAGCCGGCCUGCUCCAAGGGCCAGAAGCAGAACAGUCUCCGCAGCGGGGUUAAAGCCGGGCGAAGGAGGGCAAGUGCUGGUGGACCACCUCUCACGACACACCGUUCCUGUUUAUCUCAGUGUCCGUCAUCCGCGGGAGCAGCUUUAGAGAGCGACUGAGCGUCUCGCUCCGGUGUACACAGCCCGGCAAAGAUGCCAGCCCCCGUGGAGCUGCACCCAAUAAGCCCACCUUCUUUCCCGUCGCCACCCCGGAGACGCCCAUCGGGCUGAGCUGCGAAUAACUAAGAGAGAGGCCAAGCCAAGUCGUGGCGUUUGUGGCAGCCCCGGACACGGGCACCAGCCAGUCAGCGGAGCCUCCUCACCUCCGUUGCCAGCGAAGGCGCUCGUUAGGCCUUGGGAAGAGGCGACCGGAGGCGAUGCCCGCGAAUUUGUUAGGGGGGGGAGAGACCGUGGUCACGAAGGGGGUUCUCCCAGAGUGAAGCUUCUUCAUCUCACUCUAGAGUUGCUGAUCCCUGUGAUUUCCUCCAUGUGGGAAACGGUGUUUGUGCUAGAAGAGGCUGCGCUCUUUACCUGACAUAACGGGGUUCAAGACUGACAACGCCUCACGCCCACCCGAAAACGUUUACAUGGCUUCCUUGUCUCUUUUUUUUUCUGUCCUAAAGUCGCCUCAUCUUCACAUCCCCUCUUUUUUUUCUUCCACACUCGAGAGUGUCUCUCUCUCUCAGUAAAAGCUCCACCAAA